GAGCGAACGCUGGCUUCCGGCCUAACACAUGCAAGUCGAGCGGGCGUAUCAAUACGUCAGCGGCAGACGGGUGAGUCACGCGUGGGAACGUACCUUUUGGUUCGGAACAACACAGGGAAACUUGUGCUAAUACCGGAUAAGCCCUUACGGGGAAAGAUUUAUCGCCGAAAGAUCGGCCCGCGUCUGAUUAGCUAGUUGGUGAGGUAAUGGCUCACCAAGGCGACGAUCAGUAGCUGGUCUGAGAGGAUGAUCAGCCACACUGGGACUGAGACACGGCCCAUACUCCUACGGGAGGCAGCAAUGGG
This 305-nucleotide ribosomal RNA is filed under the name uncultured Bradyrhizobium sp. RNAcentral's name for it is "bacterial SSU rRNA". It matches the Rfam family "Bacterial small subunit ribosomal RNA", at positions 27 to 358 of the family's 1533-position model. The record is from RNAcentral. Lineage: Bacteria; Pseudomonadati; Pseudomonadota; Alphaproteobacteria; Hyphomicrobiales; Nitrobacteraceae.